Molecule: long non-coding RNA, 1492 nt
Organism: Gasterosteus aculeatus aculeatus (three-spined stickleback)
Lineage: Eukaryota; Metazoa; Chordata; Actinopteri; Perciformes; Gasterosteidae
Source: Ensembl
CUCUUUUCAGUGUCCUCGCACCGACUGGGGAAAGAAUUUAGAGCCGAUUGCAAUAUGAACUUGAAACGUUUUCUUUCUCGUAGUACGUUCACUGACUUGAAGGCAACAUGCGUCAGCUAAAUGACAUUACAGGUCAUUUAGCUGACGCUUUCAUCCAAAGCGACUUUCAUUGCGUUUAUAACCCGGGGCUUUUUGCAUGUUUGCCCGGGGAGCAAUAAGGGGUUAGGUGUCUUGCUCAGGGACACUUCGAUAUGGGACAUGGAGCCGCCGGGUCUCUAACCGCCAACCUUGUGGUUCCCAGCGCACCCUCUCUACCUCUGCGCCACGUCGACCCGCCUGUUGACGCACAAGUUGUGACCACUGGUGUCGUAUUUACAGAGAAGUCGGACUGGUCCCAGUUCACAUGAUCUUCUCAGUAACUCAAGACCACCUAACCGGUUACCGCUAGGCAGAUCCCCUGGGGGGCGUUGAGACUGUAAAGUUAACAUGGAGUCGGUGUGUACACACGCUAAAACAAUGGCGACAUGCAUGUCGUCCUUCCGCCGCUGGUUGUCGAGGUGGUGCCCAGUAAAUAAUGUGGGCUUCGUUGAUCACUGGAAGAUGUUUUGGUCUGAUUAGGACGGCAUCCAUCGCACUUCAAAGGAUCUGAUGCAGUUUCUUUGUGGAGCGUAUCCAUGGCCACCCAGAGAUCGGAUCAGGAAGCAGGGUCACAGUUUUACACACUUCUCUGCAGGCCCACCCAAAACAUUUUAAAGUUAUUUAAAUCCAAGGAGGUGGAGUGGCAGCUGUUUUUGACUUGAGCCUUUCAAUAAACCCUAAACCUGAACUACCUUCAGCAGCGGCUGGUUCGAGGUCGGGCAAUUGAAUCAAUUUAAGCAAACAUCCCAGGUGGAUUUGAUGCAAAAGGAGGAUUGAGAAUGUCGUCCGCCUGUCGAUACCACCCUCGAUGAGAACGCGUAAGCUCACGUCUGGAAGCAUUAUGAAGAAACAAAGGCAGAAAAUCCUGUGAACAAUUAGAUUUGGCUGCAAGAAACGCACUCAGGUGUGGACUCGCGUUUUCUGAAGGAAUUAGAAACAAAGAACUCCAGCCAACAAAUUUUGAGGUCAAUCGAUCUUUGGACACAACGUGUCUGCAGUGAUUACGUAAUUUAGUAGUGUUUGUUUGUAAGCUUUAGACUCAUGAACAUGCUAAGGAGGAUCCCCUCUACUGGAGUGACACAAAUAAAACUAAAACAGAGCCGAUCACAUUUGGUUGCCUGAUCCUGAUGCUCUGCUGUAACGCUUUGACACCUUGAAAAACAUCAGCCUGUUAUCACCUACGCAGACAGUGGUUGCCUGUUUCUGACUCACCGAAGAUGAGUAACUGAGCUAAAAAAAACUACUGUGGGGAUGAAAAGUUUCAUGGGAAACAUUUUCUAUCAACGAGACAAAAUGUUGAAUAGAACAAGUUCUUGAAAGCCAUACAACCAGCCAUGUCAGCGCGUCUAACCCG